Haplochromis burtoni (Burton's mouthbrooder) is the source of this 2884-nucleotide long non-coding RNA. RefSeq lists it as uncharacterized. NCBI's taxonomy places the organism in Eukaryota, Metazoa, Chordata, Actinopteri, Cichliformes, Cichlidae. The transcript has 2 exons. The record is from RefSeq and is a predicted model, not a curated record.
CAGACUGGAUGCAGACGGGUUACAGACUGGAUGCAGGACAGGGAGUGCAGCUCCACCAGCAGCAGACGCCUCGAGCUGGUUAUCUAACACCCUGGAGAGGAGCUUGGUCUCUACAGCACCCUCUUGCCUCCCAGAUGCAUAGCUUUUUUCUUUAAAAAAAAAAAAAAAAAAGCAAAGAUAGUGCUGCUUAUAAAACAUAUAUGAUGCCUGUUCCACUUUGUACUGAUGUAAUAUGCAGCAUUAUGUAAAUUAUGGAAUACUCGGCUCUGAUACGGGGACAGAAAACUGUGUUUAAUGGAAAAUCCUGACACACUCUCACUCCUCCUCAGCCGGCUGUUCUCACUGCACCUUUGCUUUUACAUUAUUCACAGAGUAAUCCCUGCUGUACUGAGCUGCUGUUGUGAUUUUUUUUUUUUUUUUUUUUAGGCAGGUCUGUUUCAUUAAUGUAUUUUUAAAAGGUCUUAUUUCAGUUAUGCCACAGGUCGUUAGUGAGAGCUGGGCAGCAUUGUUGCAGAGAUGAACAAUGUGUGCAAAAUGUGCAUCAGCUCACAGAGUGGAGCAUGUGGGCUGUAACAAAUAUCACAUAAUUAUAUACAGCAGAUUAAUUAUCCUGCAGAUUGGAGCUGGUGAUGUGUACACAAACAGUCCAGAAAGGAUCCAGCUCAAUGUCAGAAUAACUAAAAUGUCAGUAAUUCAGCUUUACUCGCACAUUUUUGAUUCCUAAAGCCAUGUGGAGCUCGUCAAUAAAGUCAGAGUCAUCGGUUUACAACAAUAGAAUUCAGAGUGUGAUUGUCUCUAAUUAAAGGGCUCACAGCGCUGGAGCGUAACCAUGGUUGCUGGUGCUGAAGGACAUAAAAACUGAGAACAGGCAGCAGAGCUAUGCAAAAGUCUCAUGCACUUAUCUGCAGUCGCUCACUCCAGGUUUAUCCAGCGUGACACGACAACCCGAAACAUGCAGCCGGUCAUAAAAAUGUAAAGCGUAUGACCCCACAGAGACCUGCUCACAGCACCUGUGAGAGGACGCCGAUCGCUCUACGCAGUGCUCCGAAGGCGCCCCGAAGGCGCUCGGGUGACGCUGCACUGAUGCCUGAGGCUUCAUUCAGAGGCGGUUCACUGUGUCCUGGGCCGCCUUGAAGGACCGCCUACUCAUUGUGUUCUUUGGACCAGCCAAUCACGCAGUUUAUUCUGAGAAAGGCGGCUCUCUCCACACUGUCAGUAUUUCUAAAAGCAUGUAGCGACGUGUGUGAUUCGGGAUCCAGUCUGCAUUACUUUGGUUUCUUCUUCCAAUCGCUGUGUUUCUUGGUCAGUCAACAGCUCCAGCGGAGCUACUGCCAGAUGUCUGGGCUGGAAUCAUGUUCUCAACCAGUUCAAGAACUGGGACCAGUUUCGUCAGGAUGUUUGGUAUUUACUUGUUUUCGGUACAGUUCCACUCAUGUAAAGGUUGCGUGAUCUUCCACGUGUGUUUAGGUUUAAGCAGCACAGCUACUCAGUUGGUAGAGGCAGCAGGAUUUCUUGGUCGGGUUAACCUGUAAAACUACUUGGCUGUGUUCAUGCAUCGAGACUUCUCUGUUAGUUUAGGUAAGAGGUGGGGAACUCCGGGCCUCGAGGGCCAUGCCCUGCAGGUUUUAGAUCUCACCCUGGGUCAACACACCUGAAUCAAAUGUUUAGUUCAUCACCAGGCCUCUGGAGAACUGUUGAGGAGGUCUUUUAACCAAGGACACUGGCCCUCGAGACCUGGAGUUCCCCCACCCCUGGUUUAGGUGAUGAAACAGAUUUACGUCUCAGGCACGCAGCCAUGCAGAUUGCUGGGCGACCUGCAGUCACCAGGGAAAAACAUGGAUUCAACCCAACCGGUUGGUGAACGGUUCCCCUAGGUUUCUGUCAUUGGUUGAAUUCAGUGGCGAAGAACAUGCUACACCAAAAAGCUUGAGAUUUCUUUGGUGCCCUUCAAUAUAAGUGCCUUUUGAAGCAUGUUUGUGGCACUGGUAAGGUCAACUUUUAUUUUGAAGGCAAACAUUCUCAGUUUCCAAGUUUCCAAGGCAGAAGAAGACUUUCUUUGGUCUGGUCUGUCCCUGGUCUGCAGGCCUGGGUGACGAGGAUGCUUUGGCGCACUAUAGGAAUCGUGGAUUGGUUCAAAGUGCCCCAUUUCCUCCUUUCUCAUAGCUGCUUCCUGUUUGUGCGGGUGACUCGUCUCCCCACAGAGGCACAAACCAUACUUCCAUGUGGAAUAACUCGGAUGUGAAGUCUUGCUGACUGCAGAGAGUAAAUGGACUGUUCCCAGAGACAAAGAAAUAACUUUUUUAAAAAAUAACUUCCCACUUUGGACAACCAGUAACUGCUGUUUGUAAGUUAAAAACAUCUUUAAAGAGGAAAGAUGAAAACAAGUUGUUAGUUUGUGAGGAUCUGACUGUGGGCCCACCGGGUGGCUUUAAGCCUUUGAAUAAUAUUAGGCUAGCUAACAGCCAUGUAGUACUCGCCACUGGGCAUGUAGCUGUGCCUCUCUGUGAGGGAGAGAGGCCUGUCACUGGAGAUGUUCUUACUCUGCAUCGACUCUGAGUUCCCUUUUGGACCCACAGUCCACAGUGAGACACACACAGACGCACACUGAGCUGUGUAAUAGCUGUCAGGCCUGCAGCCAUACCAUGCUCUGCAGGGUGCAUACUGAACAGCAGUGCCGUGUUGCAGUGAAGCAUGGAUCCUGUACAUCUCCCCUGUGGUGUGUAUGUGAGCAUGUGCAGAACGAGCAGAUAUGGAGAGCGAAGCAAAAGAAGCCGAAAUGAUUGAUGGCGGUGCCAUUUGCUUCUUUAAACGCCGGCUCUCUGCUGGUGCAAAGACGACGAGCGGACAUCGUCAAACCUCCUCGCCCGGAUCGGCCCGAACACUG